UUCGGUAUGUACUGGCUUUACUGAUUCCUCCUUCUUGACGAACCGUGAUGUCAUUAAUUUGGUGUUGCGGGAAAUCAGGACUGUUACUUUGAAAAAAUUAGAGUGUUUAAAGCAGGCUCACGCUUGAAUACAUUAGCAUGGAAUAACGAAAUAGGACGUUUGAUUCUAUUUUGUUGGUUUCUAGGAUCGACGUAAUGAUUAAUAGGGAUAGUUGGGGGCAUUAGUAUUCAAUUGUCAGAGGUGAAAUUCUUGGAUUUAUUGAAGACUAACUACUGCGAAAGCAUUUGCCAAGGAUGUUUUCAUUAAUCAAGAACGAAAGUUAGGGGAUCGAAGACGAUCAGAUACCGUCGUAGUCUUAACCAUAAACUAUGCCGACUAGGGAUCGGAUGAUGUUAAUUUUUUAAUGACUCAUUCGGCGCCUUACG
This 425-nucleotide ribosomal RNA is filed under the name uncultured Glomeromycotina. RNAcentral describes it as "SSU rRNA". It matches the Rfam family "Eukaryotic small subunit ribosomal RNA", at positions 669 to 1092 of the family's 1831-position model. The record is from RNAcentral. Lineage: Eukaryota; Fungi; Glomeromycota.